GGCCUCCCUCUGUGGGGCAAUUGAUCUGGGGGCCCCGUGAUUGAUUGCCCCACAGAGGGAGGCC
This is a non-coding RNA of Myotis davidii, 64 nucleotides long. The record is from Rfam. NCBI's taxonomy places the organism in Eukaryota, Metazoa, Chordata, Mammalia, Chiroptera, Vespertilionidae.